Molecule: ribosomal RNA, 510 nt
Filed under: uncultured Acidimicrobiales bacterium
Lineage: Bacteria; Bacillati; Actinomycetota; Acidimicrobiia; Acidimicrobiales
Description: bacterial SSU rRNA
Rfam family: Bacterial small subunit ribosomal RNA
Source: RNAcentral
ACCUGUCCCGAAGACUGGAAUAACCCGAGGAAACUCGGGCUAAUACCGGAUAUCCCCACCGGAUCGCAUGGUCUGGUGAGGAAAUGCUCCGGCGCUUCGGGAGGGUCUCGCGGCCUAUCAGCUAGUUGGUGAGGUAACGGCUCACCAAGGCAUCGACGGGUAGCUGGUCUGAGAGGACGAUCAGCCACACUGGGACUGAGACACGGCCCAGACUCCUACGGGAGGCAGCAGUGGGGAAUCUUGCGCAAUGGGCGAAAGCCUGACGCAGCCACGCCGCGUGAGGGAUGAAGGCUUUCGGGUUGUAAACCUCUUUCAGCAGGGACGAAAAUGACGGUACCUGCAGAAGAAGCCCCGGCCAACUACGUGCCAGCAGCCGCGGUAACACGUAGGGGGCAAGCGUUGUCCGGAUUUAUUGGGCGUAAAGAGCUCGUAGGCGGUUCAGUAAGUCGGGUGUGAAAACUUGAGGCUCAACCUCAAGAGGCCACUCGAUACUGCUGUGACUGGAGUCCG